GGGUAUAUAGCUCAGUGGUAGAGCCUGUGCUUAGCAUGCAUGAGGUCCUGGGUUCAAUCCCCAGAACCUCCA
RNAcentral lists this transfer RNA (72 nucleotides) under Camelus bactrianus (Bactrian camel). It matches the Rfam family "tRNA". Rfam says of the family: Transfer RNA (tRNA) molecules are approximately 80 nucleotides in length. Their secondary structure includes four short double-helical elements and three loops (D, anti-codon, and T loops). The record is from Rfam by way of RNAcentral. RNAcentral also lists the same sequence under 1 other name. Lineage: Eukaryota; Metazoa; Chordata; Mammalia; Artiodactyla; Camelidae.